This 264-nucleotide ribosomal RNA is filed under the name uncultured archaeon. RNAcentral's name for it is "partial 16S ribosomal RNA". It matches the Rfam family "Archaeal small subunit ribosomal RNA", at positions 717 to 982 of the family's 1478-position model. The record is from RNAcentral.
AGACGUCUACAUUAGAUACCCGGGUAGUCCCAGCCGUAAACUAUGCGCGUUAGGUGUAUCGGUGACCACGAGUUACCGAGGUGCCGAAGGGAAACCGUGAAACGUGCCGCCUGGGAAGUACGGUCGCAAGGCUGAAACUUAAAGGAAUUGGCGGGGAGCACCACAACAGGUGGAGCCUGCGGUUUAAUUGGAUUCAACGCCGGACAUCUCACCGGAUAAGACAGCUGAAUGAUUGUCAAUCUGAAGGUUUUACAUGACUAGCUG